RNAcentral lists this ribosomal RNA (279 nucleotides) under uncultured bacterium. Its description in RNAcentral is "partial 16S ribosomal RNA". It matches the Rfam family "Bacterial small subunit ribosomal RNA", at positions 506 to 784 of the family's 1533-position model. The record is from RNAcentral.
UGCCAGCCGCCGCGGUAAUACGGAGGGGGCUAGCGUUGUUCGGAAUUACUGGGCGUAAAGCGCGCGUAGGCGGAUUGGUCAGUCAGAGGUGAAAUCCCGAAGCUCAACUUCGGAACUGCCUUUGAUACUGCCGAUCUAGAGUCCGGGAGAGGUGAGUGGAAUUCCUAGUGUAGAGGUGAAAUUCGUAGAUAUUAGGAAGAACACCAGUGGCGAAGGCGACUCACUGGCUCGAUACUGACGCUGAGGUGCGAAAGCGUGGGGAGCAAACAAGAUUAGAUA